GUCUACAGCCAUACCACCCUGAACACACCCGAUCUCGUCUGGUCUCGGAAGUUAUCUCAGCUGUAACUGUGGCAUUACCAGGUUGCCUAUACCCAUUUCCACUGAAUAGCUUAGGCUCAUACUUGUUGCUAUGGAGA
RNAcentral lists this ribosomal RNA (137 nucleotides) under Erinaceus europaeus (western European hedgehog). Lineage: Eukaryota; Metazoa; Chordata; Mammalia; Eulipotyphla; Erinaceidae. The record is from RNAcentral.